UAGGAGAUGGACUUGAUGGAGGACCAACAACUGGAGAUGGAGGGGGUUUUCUUUUGGAUGAUGAUUUGCUUAGUUAGCAUCAUGUCAAAAGAAAUAUGGAGUUAUGGGCACCUCAGACAACAAAGCUCAAAGAUCAGCCUCGAUUCAUCAGAUUCAUCAGGCUGAUCGACGAUUAAUCGGCCUCGGCCGAUCAGACAGCAUUGCACAGAACAUCUCUCCCUCUACUCUCCAACACCUACCUCAAGUAAAUAUAUCAUUGAGGUUGGAGACUGAAGAAUAGAGUUAUGUCAGUUAUGUUGGAAAAUUAAGGUUGGAGACCAAAGAACAGAGUUAUGUUGGAAAGGGCAUAAUUGAAUAGAGGUGGUAAAUACCCUUG
This is a long non-coding RNA of Oryza brachyantha (malo sina), 376 nucleotides long. RefSeq lists it as uncharacterized. The record is from RefSeq and is a predicted model, not a curated record. NCBI's taxonomy places the organism in Eukaryota, Viridiplantae, Streptophyta, Magnoliopsida, Poales, Poaceae. The transcript has 3 exons.